UGGGGAAUUUUGGACAAUGGGCGAAAGCCUGAUCCAGCAAUGCCGCGUGUGUGAAGAAGGCCUUCGGGUUGUAAAGCACUUUUGUCCGGAAAGAAAUCCUUGGCUCUAAUACAGUCGGGGGAUGACGGUACCGGAAGAAUAAGCACCGGCUAACUACGUGCCAGCAGCCGCGGUAAUACGUAGGGUGCAAGCGUUAAUCGGAAUUACUGGGCGUAAAGCGUGCGCAGGCGGUUUGCUAAGACCGAUGUGAAAUCCCCGGGCUCAACCUGGGAACUGCAUUGGUGACUGGCAGGCUAGAGUAUGGCAGAGGGGGGUAGAAUUCCACGUGUAGCAGUGAAAUGCGUAGAGAUGUGGAGGAAUACCGAUGGCGAAGGCAGCCCCCUGGGCAAUACUGACGCUCAUGCACGAAAGCGUGGGGAGCAAACAGGAUUAGAUACCCUGGUAGUCCACGCCCUAAACGAUGUCAACUAGUUGUUGGGGAUUCAUUUCCUUAGUAACGUAGCUAACGCGUGAAGUUGACCGCCUGGGGAGUACGGUCGCAAGAUUAAAACUUAAAUGAAUUG
RNAcentral lists this ribosomal RNA (563 nucleotides) under uncultured bacterium. Its description in RNAcentral is "partial 16S ribosomal RNA". It matches the Rfam family "Bacterial small subunit ribosomal RNA", at positions 355 to 912 of the family's 1533-position model. The record is from RNAcentral.